Non-coding RNA from Sorex araneus (European shrew), 138 nucleotides. RefSeq annotates it as small Cajal body-specific RNA 11. The record is from RefSeq and is a predicted model, not a curated record. Lineage: Eukaryota; Metazoa; Chordata; Mammalia; Eulipotyphla; Soricidae. The transcript has a single exon.
CUGUCCUAGCCUGCGCUUUCCCUGUCCACUGUGAUAGCUCCAACACCAUAGUCUGGGCUGUACACACGUAAUCUCCCUGUCUGUGUAGGAUGACCGCCCUGAGCAUAGGGCUGGCUCUGAGAGCUAGGAAAAGACAAU